RNAcentral lists this ribosomal RNA (360 nucleotides) under Eleutherodactylus pinchoni. RNAcentral's name for it is "partial 12S ribosomal RNA". It matches the Rfam family "Bacterial small subunit ribosomal RNA", at positions 871 to 1384 of the family's 1533-position model. The record is from RNAcentral. Lineage: Eukaryota; Metazoa; Chordata; Amphibia; Anura; Eleutherodactylidae.
GCCAGGGAACUACGAGCAAAGCUUAAAACCCAAAGGACUUGACGGUGCCCCACAUCCCCCUAGAGGAGCCUGUCCUAUAAUCGAUGAUCCCCGUUGAACCUCACCUCUUCUAGCUUAUCAGCCUGUAUACUUCCGUCGUAAGUUUACCACGUGAGUGAAAACUCAGUAAGUCUAAUGUCCUUCUGCCACUAAUCAAUCGACAAUACGUCAGGUCAAAGUGCAGCAAAUGAAGAGGGAAAAGAUUGGCUACACUUUUUAAUAUAAAAGAAAACGAAAGACAAUAAUGAAAUUUUGUCCAAAGGCGGAUUUAGCAGUAAAAAGAAUUCAUAAUAUUCAUUUUAACCCGGCACUGGAGUGUGU